AAGGAAUAUUGCUCAAUGGGAGAAAUCCUGAAGCAGCAACGCCGCGUGGAGGAUGAAGGGUCUAUGACUUGUAAACUCCUGUAAAGAAGGAAAAAAUUCCCAUUUGAUGGGAGAUGAUGGUACUUCUGGAGUAAGCCCCGGCUAACUACGUGCCAGCAGCCGCGGUAAUACGUAGGGGGCAAGCGUUGUCCGGAUUUACUGGGUGUAAAGGGUGCUCAGGCGGAUUUGUAAGUCAGAGGUGAAAUCUUACAGCUUAACUGUGAAACUGCCUUUGAUACUGAAAGCCUAGAGUAUGGAAGAGAGUGAUGGAAUAUCUGGUGGAGCAGUGAAAUGCGUAGAUAUCAGAUAGAACACCAAUGGCGAAGGCAGUCACUUGGUCCAUUACUGACGCUAAAGCACGAAAGCGUGGGUAGCAAACA
This 419-nucleotide ribosomal RNA is filed under the name uncultured bacterium. Its description in RNAcentral is "bacterial SSU rRNA". It matches the Rfam family "Bacterial small subunit ribosomal RNA", at positions 356 to 774 of the family's 1533-position model. The record is from RNAcentral.